Melopsittacus undulatus (budgerigar) is the source of this 2465-nucleotide RNA transcript. It is a transcript of the gene named serine/arginine-rich splicing factor 7-like, with no coding region annotated. NCBI's taxonomy places the organism in Eukaryota, Metazoa, Chordata, Aves, Psittaciformes, Psittaculidae. The transcript is spliced from 9 exons. The record is from RefSeq and is a predicted model, not a curated record.
AGACCAAGGUGUACGUGGGGAACCUGGGCACGGGCGCUGGAAAGGGCGAGCUGGAGAGAGCCUUCAGCUACUACGGGCCCCUGAGAACCGUGUGGAUCGCGAGGAACCCGCCGGGGUUUGCCUUUGUGGAGUUUGAAGAUCCGAGGGAUGCUGAAGAUGCUGUGCUUGGCCUUGAUGGAAAGAUAAUAUGUGGCUCCAGAGUUAGAGUGGAAGUGUCAACUGGGAUGCCUCGUCGCUCCCGUUACGACAGGCCUCCUGCCCGGCGCCCGUUUGACCCAAACGACAGAUGCUAUGAGUGUGGUGAGAAAGGCCACUAUGCUUAUGAUUGUCACCGCUAUAGUCGGCGAAGGAGGAGCAGGUUUCUUCGUUUGAGUCAGUCGCCUUGAUUCAGAAUGUCACGAGCCUUAAGAUUUCAUGCUGAGGCGCCUUGCAAAUCCGACACUUAAGAUCCUCCUAGACCUUGAGGUGAUCAGCAUAAGAGGCCAGAUCCCCUCGAGCCAUCUACACGUAGCUUCACCUUAUUCUUUAAGGGCAGAAAAAUUGAGACGGUGAUCGCCGUAACAGUAAAUUUGGCUUUCAAUUGGGGCCCCCCUCCGGUUUAGAAAGAGGAACACCAGAUUGACCACAUUCCCACCUAGAAAAAUCUUCUUGCGUCAAUCAAGCCUCACCCUGGCUCAUUGGGCUGUCAGUUUGAUCGUCGUUAGAUUGAAGAGAACACCUAGAUGCAGCGAUCGGCUAUAGAUACUUCUAGAUCGUCUAGAUCUGCUAGACCUUGGGCCAAAGAGGGUCGACCUGCAAACUUGCAAGGUCCCGAUCAAGAUCUCGUUCACGGUCCCGAGGACGAAGGUAUUCUCGCUCACGCAGUCGGAGUCGUGGUAGGAGGUCAAGAUCAGCUUCCUACCGCAGGUCCAGGUCAAUCUCUCCUCGUAGGUAUAGGUCAUUUUCACCCCGCAGAUCUCGAUCUGGUUCUUUAAGGAGAUCAAGAUCUAGGUCCAGGUCACGCUCAAGGUCCCGAUCUGCUGUAUGGCCUCGAAGCAGGUCUGGGUCCCAUGGUAGAUCUAAAUCUGGCUUACCUGCUAAAAGUCGUUCAAAGUCCAGAUCACCAUCUCCAAAGAGAAGUCACUCACCAUCAGGAAGCCCUUGAAGGAGUGGAAGUCAUGAAAGAAUGGAUUUGAAUUUGAAAAGUUUAAGAAGAAAAAUUUAUUUUGUUUACAUUAUUAUAAGGGAUUUUGUGGUGUCUUUAUAAAUGUAAGGGCUUAGUCCUAGAAGGCUGUUUCUAUUGACUAACAAUUGGCAUGAACAUUUUAAAAGUCUUAGUAGUAGACUAAUGCAAAACUCCUUUGUUGUGUUAAUGUUCUGUGAUCUGGAAAUGUUGGGCUUUUUUUAUUGGUGCGUUGAAAUAAACUGCAUUUCUAAAGAAGAAGUAUUUUGUGAUAACCCUGCUCUUUCUGUUAAUAUUUGGGUAGCUGAAGCAGGUUACAGGUCACUGGUAAAAAGCAGGAGGCACUUGUGAACUGAGGGUAGUGCAGUGGCCAGUCUAGCUCUGCAGGUGCGUGUCUGUUAGAGGAUGGAUAAGGGUGCCAAUCUACCAGUACCAGCUUGUCAGUGUUAAUGUUUGGUCUUAAAUGCUAUGGUGAUCUGUACUGUGUAGUUUUAUUUGCACCUUCUCAAAGCUCAGCGGAGCUGAAAACCUGUCUGGAGGUGUUUGUACACUUGAUGAGUUGGCUUUCAAAAAUGUUUGCAAAGGGUGUUAACAGAUUGGAAAGAAACAAGAACUGUGUGAAUGCUCUGUCCUGAUGAUUAAAGGACCAGUGAACUCCUCACUUGGAGGUAUUUGGAAUAUUUCUGGAAUGUAAACUGUUGAAGUAAAUACUUUUAGAAAUCUUGUUCUGUGUCCAGUUGUGAUAGUUAGGAUAGACUGGCAGUUCUGGUGCAGAAGAUAAUACUCUAUUGGGGAAAUUAAACCUUUUUGUAUAGAUUAAAAGUCACAAGUGGAACCUGCAGGUCAUGUUUAAGUAGCAGUCAGUAUAUCUGAGGCAUUGAAAGUUCAUGUUACACUGACCUGGUGUGACUGAUCACAUCAUCUCCUUUGGUAGUAAAGUGCAACCACGGGACUUACUGCUGUCCUUACCAGUUGCUGCUUUGGGAAACUGGACUGUGGCUGCCUGUAUGCAGAUGGCCACCAUCUCACCAUUGGGGGAUUUAAUACAAGUAUUAUAAACUAGUGCAAGGUAGUUGCAAGUUGGAGUGGUCAUUAUCAGUUUGUAGCUGAUAAUGGCUGUUAAUAGACUAGUAAAGACAGUGCCAGGUGAUUUUCAGUUCUCCUUGCCCCAUCACAGUUUAUUGCAUCAAUGGUACAAUUGCUCUGUGCAACAGUGUUUUUAAAGAGGGAGAGUGGGGUGACUUUCUUCCUCUCUGUACUGCUAAAGCAAGCUGACUCCAUAAUAAACCUGUAGCCUAAAACA